Ictalurus punctatus (channel catfish) is the source of this 4103-nucleotide long non-coding RNA. The record is from Ensembl. Lineage: Eukaryota; Metazoa; Chordata; Actinopteri; Siluriformes; Ictaluridae.
CUCGAGAUGUGCGCCAAAAUGUAAAAAAAACAAAGCUAUUAGUUUCACCGUCAGGAAUUCCGUUACUUUGCUGAUUAGUGCGGAGGGACGCGGCCUCUUUUCCCAUCACAGAGUGUGGAACCGCAACGAUACGAACAAUCCCAACAAUUCCACAGUUAAAGAAUAUGUAUGCACAGAUAGCUAAUAAUGCAUAACUGCAAACAACAGGACGACAAUGCCAUGUCCAUUCCGUAGGCUCUGGUGUCUUCACUGUGUGUGUGUGUGUCUCACUCACUUGUCAGUGUGAACAGACACAUUGUCAAUUUAGUCUAUAUCUGUCCACAGACUUCACACUUACCGAAAGCAUUCGUCUAGCUAGAAGGUCAUCGCUGCAGAGUGCAAGUCCAAACGACACACACACACACACACACACACACACAGAAGUGUAUUAGAGUAUUAAAACCCUGCCUUUCCGAAACAACCUUUUCUCAUUCGUUAAUUCGUUUCAAACAUAAUCAAAUGUCUUUACUUCUCUCCUCUUAUCACUAUAAUAUAAGCAUCCUUAAAAGAAUAGUAGUGAUGCUGGAUUAAAAAAAAAAAAAAGAAAAAAAAAAGUGCCAAAUAUGAAAACACAAACAUUGUGGCUUUCAGCACUUGGAGCACGCAGCAGAUGGAGAAGUGCAGAAAUGUUUAUCUGAUGGCUUUUUAAACAUUAAGGACGCUGUGUGGAUUCGGAGAUUGAUAACGUGAUGUAUACAUACGGGAAAAGCCGCACUUAAGUGCGUGGCCCCAAUAAAAGCCUAUCUAACCGAGCCGCGUCAUUGGCUUCCAGUGGGUGAGAAUGGUAUUAAAGAAGGGAUCAGGGAAGACUUGGCAACCUGAAGCCCUUUAAGUAAACAAACAGCUGCAUUUGUUAGCAAUCCGGUGUCAGAGAGGUAUUCUAAACAGCCAGAGACUGAUGGGGAGAACUGUGGGGCAGUUUGGGAGAGAGAGAGAGAGAGAGAGAGAGAGAGAGAGAGGUGGAGAGGGAGAGAUGAGAGCUAUUGCUGUGACAUCAAAUCUCAUUUUGCUAGCCUCUCUCUCUCUCUGCUUUGUCUUCUGCUUCUCUGCUUGGUCAGCGAUCGGCUAUAGAAAUAUUUUGGCAGGCUCGCUCUUUGUUUUCAUUUCACAAAAAGAUGGAGAGAGGUAGGGUAGAGGGUUGAACACAUACUUGCCUGCAUGUCUCUCUCUCUCUCUCUCUCUCUCUCUCCCUCUUUCUCUCUGUUGCUCUCGCUCUUUCUUUUCAAUCUAAACAGCGGGAGGAAGUUAUAAAUCACGGUAAUGCACUCAGUUGUAAUUCAGACCAGCAGGGAGAAAACACACACACAGAACGCAUAUGUACACAUAACACAAGAGCACACACACACACACACACACACACACACACACACACCCCUCCCUGAAAAUGGCAGGAGUUUACCGGCAGCAUGGCGGCUCUUUAAUCAGUGAAAAUGAGCCGAUGAUAUGAAAUCCCCAAUCACAGCCAAUCAGCAGGCUUCCUGUCAGUCACAGUGGACUGCAAACUUCAAUCAGAGUCUUGUAAAAUGAGUUAAGUCCAGUCUGUCUACACACACCUGCUGUCCUGCCUUUGAUCAAAUUAUAUAAUCCUACGAUCCCUCAGGUGUGUUAUACAAGACGUCAGUCAAUGGACGUCUAGGCUGCUGUGUCCUGAUCGGUGAAAUCAGUAUUCCACUAUUAAAGACAUGAACAUGAACAGGCUGGCCAUUUACACAGAGGUCACUUCGAUGUUUUAGUGGGUAUAGAGCUGGGUCGUGGAACAGCUUCUACAGUACACAAAGAAAGGGAUCCCCCCCCCCCCCCCCACUACUCUUUUUGGAACCAGAAACCUGCAACUGCAUCUUUUCCACUGACCAGCAGUCCUUCAGCAAACGUCACAAGCGUUAGGUUUCGAGUACCUGUUCACGAUGGAACAAAAUGACUGUCGAGGAUUCACUGCUCAGGGUGAGAAGUUACACGUACUAUGUCAUAAAGACAUAAACGAACAACAAAAAAAAAGAAGAAGAGAUAAACAAGUCACCUAUAUACAAGCGCUACCAGUGCAAACAGUGGUUUCUAUGGCACCAAUGCAGUAUAAACAAAUAGUAAAAUGAUUUCCUGAGGUUUCUGAUCAUUUACAGAAGUUGUAUCAGCGUCACAGUCGGGGAUCAGACAUGAAACUAAUCUUUUCAUUGAAAAUAAUCGUAAAUGCCAACAAAAUCAUUCUAAAUUGUUCCGGAAAAUAUUAUUUGAAAAAGUGCUCCAUCGAUUACCAGCACUAUUUUCCAAGAAAUUUCAGCUUAAACCUAAACAAUUUCCCAAUAGGCAUAAAAUUCUCUAUAGAAUUCAUCACUUCCUGCAUGCCUGGCUACAGGAAUAUACACUGAUCGGAACUUUAAAACCACCUGCCUAAUAUUGUGUAGGCCCCCCUCGUGCCGCCAAAACGGCUCCGACCCGUCGAGGCGUGGACUCCACAAGACCUCUGAAGAUGUGCUGUGGUGUCUGGCAGCCAGAUCAUUUAAGUCCUGUAAGUUGUGAGGUGACCCCCAGACGCUUGAUCAGACUGAUCAGACCUUGAACUCUUUGUCAUGUUCCUCAAACCAUUCCUGAACCAUUUUUGCCGUGUGACGGGGCGUAUUAUCUCGCCGAAAACGGGCACUGCUAUUAGGGAAUACCGUUGCUAUGAAGGUGUGUACUCGGUCUGCAGCAAUGUUUAUGUAGGUGGUAUGUGUCAAAGCAACAUCCACAUGAACACCAGGACCCAAGGUUUCUCAGCAGAACAUUGCGCAGAGUAUCACACUUCCUCCACCGGCUUGCCUUCUUCCCAUAGUGCAUCCUAGUGCCAUCUCUUAACCGGGUAAGCACACGCACCCGGCCAUCAUGAUUCAUCAGACCAGGCCACCUUCUUCCAUUGCUCCAUGCUCCAGUUCUGAUGCUCACGUGCCCAUUGUAGGCGCUUUCAUUGGUGGACGGGGGUCUGCAUGGGCGCUCUGACGGGUCUGCAGCUACGCAGCCCCAUACGCAGCAACCUGUGAUGCACUGUGUGUUCUGACACCUGUCUAUCAUAGCUAGCAGUAACUUUCUCAGCAAUUUGUGCUACUGUAGCUCUUCUGUGGGAUCGGACCACACGAGCUAACCUUCACUCCCCACACGCAUCAGUGAGUCGUGGGUGGCAGUGACCCUGUCGCCAGUUCACCGGAUGUCCUUCCUUCGACCACUGUUCAUAGGUUCUAUCCACUGCAUACCAGGAACACCCCACAAGACCUGCCGUUUUGCAGACGCUCUGACCCAGUCGUCUAGCCAUCACAAUUUGGCCCUCGUCAAAGUCGCUCAGAUCCUUACACUUGCCCAUUUUCCCUGCUUCCGACACGUCAACUACGAGAACUGACUGUUCACUUGCUGCCUAGUAUAUCCCACCGCUUAACAGGUGCCACUGUAACGAGAUAAUCAAUGCUGUUCACUUCACCUGCCAGUGGUUUUAAUGUUACAGCUGAUCGGAGUAUGAUAUUAGACAGACGCUAUUGGCAGGUUGGCGAGGCAAACGUGCUAACCACUAAGCUAACCUCAAUCCAACUAAACAGGGCGGCGUGAUAAGCAGGAACAGGAACAUACAAAUAUGAAUGGUUUCGAAUUCCUGAUCGCAGUACUCCAGCUUUCUCUCGGGUUGGUAAGAAAUGAACUAGGACCUGCUGGUUCUUCUUCGGAUCAGUCCUUCUAUUUCAACGUGCCGCGUAAAAACGAUAGAAGAAAAGAAAUCGCGCCGGUGCAAACCAUUCGGCUCGAAGGGGAUUCGAAAUAAGUACAGAAAAGCAGUAUUAAACGCUUCCUGGACGUUUUGGUGAUGAAUGUUGUACAUAAUUUAAUGGGCCACAUUUACAUUCGGAAAAUAUUUCGUGACCAGUUUGCACUCCUGUGACCUUUUGGAAGCACACGGUUAAACAAUCUUAAUUCAUCCACCAUCAGUGAUCGAGGCCGCCGGACUUCCAGCUUGCAGUGAUCUCAUCGGCGUGGUUUUCUCUCGUCACCGAUAUAUAAAGUGCCAGCCAACGUUAGCGGCUGCUAGGUCACGUAAACUGAAUUUAUGAUCU